This 450-nucleotide ribosomal RNA is filed under the name uncultured bacterium. RNAcentral's name for it is "bacterial SSU rRNA". It matches the Rfam family "Bacterial small subunit ribosomal RNA", at positions 340 to 781 of the family's 1533-position model. The record is from RNAcentral.
UACGGAAGGCAGCAGUGGGGAAUAUUGCACAAUGGGCGCAAGCCUGAUGCAGCCAUGCCGCGUGUAUGAAAAAGGCCUUCGGGUUGUAAAGUACUUUCAGUCGUGAGGAAGGUGUUAAGGUUAAUAACCUUAGCAAUUGACGUUAGCGACAGAAGAAGCACCGGCUAACUCCGUGCCAGCAGCCGCGGUAAUACGGAGGGUGCGAGCGUUAAUCGGAAUUACUGGGCGUAAAGGGCACGCAGGCGGUUAAUUAAGUUGGAUGUGAAAUCCCCGGGCUUAACCUGGGAAUGGCAUUCAAGACUGGUUAGCUAGAGUCUUGUAGAGGGGGUAGAAUUCCAUGUGUAGCGGUGAAAUGCGUAGAGAUGUGGAGGAAUACCGGUGGCGAAGGCGGCCCCUGGACAAAGACUGACGCUCAUGUGCGAAAGCGUGGGGAGCGAAACGAGGGAUUAG